GUUCAAUAGCAACUGUGCAAAAAUCAAAAUUUGAUUUUGCUUCUUUGGAAAUAAAGAAAACAGAGCGGCCAAACAACCAUAGGGAUGGCAUCCACAGAUUAAGGGCAAUUCUAUCCCUCUGUCUACUGAUUCCAUCUCACUUUU
Molecule: non-coding RNA, 144 nt
Organism: Corchorus olitorius
Lineage: Eukaryota; Viridiplantae; Streptophyta; Magnoliopsida; Malvales; Malvaceae
Source: Rfam